ACUUGGACCCCAUAUGUCCGAGUGAACAACUUCAAACAUAGAGGAUGACCUAUUAUUGACAUGCUUUGGGAAAGAAGCACGAGUGUGUUUCCCAAGCUGACAUGACUCACAUUCUAACAAAGAUAAACUAGAUAGACUGAGGACCAUUUUCUGCAGCCCAAGCUGACAUGACUCACAUUCAAACAAAGAUAAAUUAGAUAGACUGGGGACCAUUUUCUACAACUUUGAAAGACUUGGAUGUCCCAAUUGACGAUGAAGUAAAUCGGAGGAAAUAGCGGAAGUGAAGGCAACUGGUGGUUUUGGAAUAGAUAGUUUAUAUAGACCGUGUGACUCAUGUCCUCUUCCAAUCACCUGUCCCGUACUCCGAUCCUGCACAACAAAAUCCUCAGAGAAGAUUACAAGACACUUGAGGUUCUUCGUUAAUUUACUAAUGGAAAUAAGAUUAUACGGACACUCAAGUACAAAAAGAACCGAGGUUAAAGGUAAAGAAGGUAGAGAGUGAGUUGCACCUAUUUCUUUGAUAGCAGCCUUUGAUCCAUUAGCUAAGGUAAUAGUAGAAAAGACAGAUGGAGACUUAAGGACAGAAAGAAGAUUUCGGUUACCAAAUAUAUGAUCAGUAGCACCGGAGUCAAAAAUCCAUGGUCCAGGAAAGGAAGACUGUGCGAUACAAGCAAAAGAGUUACCAGGUUGCACUGUGCAAGCUGUAGAUGAGGUAGAUGACUGUUGCUUUGAUGCCUGCUACUGA
Molecule: long non-coding RNA, 745 nt
Filed under: Nicotiana benthamiana
Lineage: Eukaryota; Viridiplantae; Streptophyta; Magnoliopsida; Solanales; Solanaceae
Description: long non-coding RNA (NBEN_LNC031106)
Source: RNAcentral